This 116-nucleotide non-coding RNA is filed under the name Klebsiella sp. Its description in RNAcentral is "Magnesium sequence". It matches the Rfam family "Magnesium riboswitch aptamer (Magnesium responsive RNA element)". Rfam says of the family: The Magnesium sensor RNA element is a cis-regulatory element that regulates the expression of the magnesium transporter protein MgtA. It is located in the 5' UTR of this gene. Lineage: Bacteria; Pseudomonadati; Pseudomonadota; Gammaproteobacteria; Enterobacterales; Enterobacteriaceae. The record is from RNAcentral. RNAcentral also lists the same sequence under 1 other name.
CUUACCGGAGGCUGUAUGGACCCUGAUCCCACACCUCUCCCGCGACGGAGAGCAAUAACCAUCCGGUAAGCCAGUUUUUUCACUGCCUUAGCGGAUCUGUAAGGCAGUGACGUCUU